Long non-coding RNA from Prunus persica (peach), 522 nucleotides. RefSeq lists it as uncharacterized. Lineage: Eukaryota; Viridiplantae; Streptophyta; Magnoliopsida; Rosales; Rosaceae. The transcript has 3 exons. The record is from RefSeq and is a predicted model, not a curated record.
UACAAGGGAUUUAGGAGGGAAUAUGAAAGGGUGCUAGGGUUUGCUCGUGAAACGAGGCGUGGUACCCUUAGUUGGCUAUUUAAUAGGAACUUGGGUGGUGAAGGCAUCACACUUGGCUUGAGUUGAGAAAAAUUGUGAGAAUUUGAGGAGGAGGAGAAGAGAUUUCCGGCGAAGGUUUUGUGGUGGUGCUUGUGGCUGAGGUGAUUUCCGGCGACUUGUACGUGGUGGUACGAACAAGGUUCAGUGAAGUGGGGCCCUAUCUCCAAGGAGCAAGAAGACGAAGUUGAGUGGGUGAGGGCGCAGCUAUCAGAGACUGAGCGUGAGUGCGGGAACCUAGUCACGCAGAAGAAUUUGUUUGAGUCCGGACUGCUGCAAGGAAUGGCUGGCAUCAUAAGGGGGAGCACGAAGGUGGCCGUAGACAUUGAUGAGGCCGAGAUGCAGAAGCGGCUGAGGGAAUCUCGGGCCAAGAAAGCUGAGAAGAGUGCUGGAAAACGACCCAGGGAUGAUGAUGAGGGUCGGGUC